This is a small nucleolar RNA of Danio rerio (zebrafish), 115 nucleotides long. Lineage: Eukaryota; Metazoa; Chordata; Actinopteri; Cypriniformes; Danionidae. The record is from Ensembl.
UUCCAAUGAUGAGCCUGCCAUGCUAAUACUGAUGCACCAGAGUUUGACUGUGUCUCACACUGGGUGUAAGUGUGUUCAACUAAACUUCUCACACUUGCAGUGUGCUCUGAGGAAA